AGAGUUUGAUCAUGGCUCAGAACGAACGCUGGCGGCAUGCCUAACACAUGCAAGUCGAACGAGACCUUCGGGUCUAGUGGCGCACGGGUGCGUAACGCGUGGGAAUCUGCCCUUGGGUGCGGAAUAACUUCUCGAAAGGGAUGCUAAUACCGCAUAAUGUCGUAAGACCAAAGAUUUAUCGCCCAAGGAUGAGCCCGCGUAAGAUUAGCUAGUUGGUGGGGUAAAAGCCUACCAAGGCGACGAUCUUUAGCUGGUCUGAGAGGAUGAUCAGCCACACUGGGACUGAGACACGGCCCAGACUCCUACGGGAGGCAGCAGUGGGGAAUAUUGGACAAUGGGCGAAAGCCUGAUCCAGCAAUGCCGCGUGAGUGAUGAAGGCCCUAGGGUUGUAAAGCUCUUUUACCAGGGAUGAUAAUGACAGUACCUGGAGAAUAAGCUCCGGCUAACUCCGUG
Molecule: ribosomal RNA, 453 nt
Filed under: uncultured bacterium
Lineage: Bacteria
Description: bacterial SSU rRNA
Rfam family: Bacterial small subunit ribosomal RNA
Source: RNAcentral